Molecule: non-coding RNA, 107 nt
Organism: Ricinus communis (castor bean)
Lineage: Eukaryota; Viridiplantae; Streptophyta; Magnoliopsida; Malpighiales; Euphorbiaceae
Source: Rfam
AAACCAUGGUGUGGACAGCUCCUUAGUAAAUCCUUGAAACAUUCCCAACAAUCGUACAAAGUCUCAUUCUCUUGCUGAAGAAACCCUACUAUGUCAUUCCUCAACUU